ACAAGAGAGCUUGCUCUCUGGGUGACGAGCGGCGGACGGGUGAGUAAUGUCUGGGAAACUGCCUGAUGGAGGGGGAUAACUACUGGAAACGGUAGCUAAUACCGCAUGACGUCUUCGGACCAAAGUGGGGGACCUUCGGGCCUCACGCCAUCAGAUGUGCCCAGAUGGGAUUAGCUAGUAGGUGGGGUAAUGGCUCACCUAGGCGACGAUCUCUAGCUGGUCUGAGAGGAUGACCAGCCACACUGGAACUGAGACACGGUCCAGACUCCUACGGGAGGCAGCAGUGGGGAAUAUUGCACAAUGGGCGCAAGCCUGAUGCAGCCAUGCCGCGUGUAUGAAGAAGGCCUUCGGGUUGUAAAGUACUUUCAGCGAGGAGGAAGGCAUUAAGGUUAAUAACCUUAGUGAUUGACGUUACUCGCAGAAGAAGCACCGGCUAACUCCGUGCCAGCAGCCGCGGUAAUACGGAGGGUGCAAGCGUUAAUCGGAAUUACUGGGCGUAAAGCGCACGCAGGCGGUUGAUUAAGUCAGAUGUGAAAUCCCCGAGCUUAACUUGGGAACUGCAUUGAAACU
This 570-nucleotide ribosomal RNA is filed under the name Hafnia sp. VK60. RNAcentral describes it as "bacterial SSU rRNA". It matches the Rfam family "Bacterial small subunit ribosomal RNA", at positions 70 to 634 of the family's 1533-position model. Lineage: Bacteria; Pseudomonadati; Pseudomonadota; Gammaproteobacteria; Enterobacterales; Hafniaceae. The record is from RNAcentral.